This 325-nucleotide ribosomal RNA is filed under the name Salmonella enterica subsp. enterica serovar Braenderup. RNAcentral describes it as "bacterial LSU rRNA". It matches the Rfam family "Bacterial large subunit ribosomal RNA", at positions 454 to 783 of the family's 2925-position model. The record is from RNAcentral. Lineage: Bacteria; Pseudomonadati; Pseudomonadota; Gammaproteobacteria; Enterobacterales; Enterobacteriaceae.
CAUCCUCCAAGGCUAAAUACUCCUGACUGACCGAUAGUGAACCAGUACCGUGAGGGAAAGGCGAAAAGAACCCCGGCGAGGGGAGUGAAAAAGAACCUGAAACCGUGUACGUACAAGCAGUGGGAGCACCUUCGGGUGUGACUGCGUACCUUUUGUAUAAUGGGUCAGCGACUUAUAUUCUGUAGCAAGGUUAACCGUAUAGGGGAGCCGUAGGGAAACCGAGUCUUAACCGGGCGUUAAGUUGCAGGGUAUAGACCCGAAACCCGGUGAUCUAGCCAUGGGCAGGUUGAAGGUUGGGUAACACUAACUGGAGGACCGAACCGAC